RNAcentral lists this transfer RNA (75 nucleotides) under Caudoviricetes sp. RNAcentral's name for it is "tRNA-Met". It matches the Rfam family "tRNA". Rfam says of the family: Transfer RNA (tRNA) molecules are approximately 80 nucleotides in length. Their secondary structure includes four short double-helical elements and three loops (D, anti-codon, and T loops). Further hydrogen bonds mediate the characteristic L-shaped molecular structure. tRNAs have two regions of fundamental functional importance: the anti-codon, which is responsible for specific mRNA codon recognition, and the 3' end, to which the tRNAs corresponding amino acid is attached (by aminoacyl-tRNA synthetases). tRNAs cope with the degeneracy of the genetic code in two manners: having more than one tRNA (with a specific anti-codon) for a particular amino acid; and 'wobble' base-pairing, i.e. permitting non-standard base-pairing at the 3rd anti-codon position. The record is from RNAcentral. Lineage: Duplodnaviria; Heunggongvirae; Uroviricota; Caudoviricetes.
GGCGGAGUGGAGCAGUAGCAGCUCGCUUGGCUCAUAACCAAGAGGACGGUGGUGCAAGUCCAUCCUCCGCAACCA